AGGACGAACGCUGGCGGCGUGCCUAACACAUGCAAGUGGAGCGACGAACCAGGCUUCGGCCUGGGGCAGAGCCGCGAACGGGUGAGUAACACGUGGGUAACCUGCCCUGAUGAUUGGGACAACCCGAGGAACUCGGGCUAAUACCGAAUGUGCCCUCUGGCCUCAAGGCCUCUGGGGAAAGAGCUUCGGCCUCCGCAUCGGGAUGGGCCCCGCGGCCCAUUAGCUUGUUGGUGAGGUAACGGCUCACCAAGGCAACGAUGGGUAGC
RNAcentral lists this ribosomal RNA (266 nucleotides) under uncultured bacterium. Its description in RNAcentral is "partial small subunit ribosomal RNA". It matches the Rfam family "Bacterial small subunit ribosomal RNA", at positions 26 to 287 of the family's 1533-position model. The record is from RNAcentral.